ACAUUCUAACUAUUACAUAACAUCUCUUCAGUACUCUGGCUAACCUUCUGAUCUACCCUGUACCUGCACAUCUGGGGUUAGGGGAGAGGGGUGAGCUAGAAAGCCCAGUGAGCAGAAUAGAGAAAAACAUUAUAUUAAAGUUUCAUGCUCACAUGAAAUGCAACACAUCACAAACAAAUCACAUAAGGAUGGUAUCGUCACCUCUAGUCCUCUACAAUCCAAAGUGCCGGGACGUAGAAUGGGUCAACCGGUCUUUCUCUUACAUAACAUACAUAACAUAACAUUCCAAUAUGCCAGGGACGUAGAAUGGGUCAACCUGGUCUUUCUCUUAUUCUGGCCGGGACGUAGAAUGGGUCAACCGGCAAACAUACCAUACCAUGUCUCAUCAUAACAUAUCAAGGACUAAAGGAUCAUUCAAUGCCCAUCCACAUCAUCAUCAAGUAUGCAAUGCAACAUAUUCGUGAACUAAUGCAAG
Molecule: long non-coding RNA, 475 nt
Filed under: Manihot esculenta (cassava)
Lineage: Eukaryota; Viridiplantae; Streptophyta; Magnoliopsida; Malpighiales; Euphorbiaceae
Description: long non-coding RNA (MESC_LNC007593)
Source: RNAcentral